CUUGUAGGCGGCUUGUCGCGUCUGCUGUGAAAACCCGGGGCUUAACCCCGGGCUUGCAGUGGGUACGGGCAGGCUAGAGUGUGGUAGGGGAGACUGGAAUUCCUGGUGUAGCGGUGGAAUGCGCAGAUAUCAGGAGGAACACCGAUGGCGAAGGCAGGUCUCUGGGCCAUUACUGACGCUGAGAAGCGAAAGCGUGGGGAGCGAACA
This 207-nucleotide ribosomal RNA is filed under the name uncultured Micrococcineae bacterium. RNAcentral's name for it is "partial 16S ribosomal RNA". It matches the Rfam family "Bacterial small subunit ribosomal RNA", at positions 568 to 774 of the family's 1533-position model. Lineage: Bacteria; Bacillati; Actinomycetota; Actinomycetes; Micrococcales. The record is from RNAcentral.